GCCCUAAGAGGCCCCACCGCUANNAGAGNGGGACUAAACGGUGCCUGAAGAGGUACCAAUGCCUGGCGAACGGCUCAGUAACACGUAGUCAACAUGCCCAGGGGACGUGGAUAACCUCGGGAAACUGAGAAUAAACCACGAUAGGUCACGAUUUCUGGAAUGGAUCAUGGCCUAAAUCUACAUGGCCCCUGGAUUGGACUGCGGCCGAUCAGGCUGUUGGUGAGGUAAUGGCCCACCAAACCUAUAACCGGUACGGGCUCUGAGAGGAGAAGCCCGGAGAUGGGCACUGAGACAAGGGCCCAGGCCCUAUGGGGCGCAGCAGGCGCGAAACCUCUGCAAUAGGCGAAAGCCUGACAGGGUUACUCUGAGUGAUUUCCGCUAAGGGGAUCUUUUGGCACCUCUAAAAAUGGUGCAGAAUAAGGGGUGGGCAAGUCUGGUGUCAGCCGCCGCGGUAAUACCAGCACCCCGAGUGGUCGGGACGAUUAUUGGGCAUAAAGCAUCCGUAGCCGGCUACGCAAGUCUCCGGUUAAAUCCAGCUGCUCAACAGAUGGGCUGCCGGAGAUACUACAUAGCUAGGGAGCGGGAGAGGUAGACGGUAUUCUGUGGGUAGGGGUAAAAUCCACUGAUCCAUAGAGGACCACCAGUGGAGAAGGCGGUCUACCAGAACGCGUUAGACGGUGAGGGAUGAAAGCUGGGGGAGCAAACCGGAUUAGAUACCCGGGUAGUCCCAGCUGUAAACGAUGCAAACUCGGUGAUGCAUUGGCUUAUGGCCAAUGCCAUGCCGCAUGGUAGUCGCCAAUUUUGCCGCCUGCUAAGCCCGACCCCAUUCUUCAAACUAAAUGAAUUGGCGGCGGUACACAUGCCUAAAUUU
RNAcentral lists this ribosomal RNA (871 nucleotides) under uncultured archaeon. RNAcentral describes it as "bacterial SSU rRNA". It matches the Rfam family "Archaeal small subunit ribosomal RNA", at positions 1 to 891 of the family's 1478-position model. The record is from RNAcentral.